RNAcentral lists this ribosomal RNA (508 nucleotides) under uncultured bacterium. Its description in RNAcentral is "bacterial SSU rRNA". It matches the Rfam family "Bacterial small subunit ribosomal RNA", at positions 17 to 518 of the family's 1533-position model. The record is from RNAcentral.
AUCUGGUUCAGGAUGAACGCUAGCGACAGGCCUAACACAUGCAAGUCGAGGGGCAGCACAAGGAGCAAUCUGAGGUGGCGACCGGCGCACGGGUGAGUAACACGUAUGCAACCUGCCUGUAAGCGGGGAAUAACCCGUUGAAAGACGGACUAAUACCGCAUAAUACUAAAUUACUGCAUGGUAAUUUAUUUAAACAUUUAUGGCUUACAGAUGGGCAUGCGCAUGAUUAGCUAGUUGGAGAGGUAACGGCUCCCCAAGGCAACGAUCAUUAGGGGUUCUGAGAGGAAGGUCCCCCACACUGGUACUGAGACACGGACCAGACUCCUACGGGAGGCAGCAGUGAGGAAUAUUGGUCAAUGGGCGGGAGCCUGAACCAGCCAAGUCGCGUGAAAAGGAAGAAGGAUCUAUGGUUCGUAAACUUCUUUUGCAGGGGAAUAAAGUGCAGGACGUGUCCUGUUUUGUAUGUACCCUGAGAAUAAGGAUCGGCUAACUCCGUGCCAGCCGCUGC